Non-coding RNA from Carica papaya (papaya), 1497 nucleotides. NCBI's taxonomy places the organism in Eukaryota, Viridiplantae, Streptophyta, Magnoliopsida, Brassicales, Caricaceae. The record is from RefSeq and is a predicted model, not a curated record.
AGGAUACUAAAGUAUGGUUAGAUCUAUGAAGACUAACCUAUAUACAUUUUUUUCAGCUUUUCGUAUUGCAUAUAUAUAUGUACACACGCAUAUAUUCUCCUUGUAAGAAUAAAUAGCAACCCAUUUAGUUAUUUACUCUAUUAAAAUACUUUGCAUUCCUUUUGGUUGAUGCAGGACCUUACGCCUGAAGCGUAUUGCCUUCUCAAUUCAGUGUCUUUCUGAUGCAGAAAUCCUCCAUCAAUGUUCUACUUCACCUUUAGCUGAGGGUCCAGAUUUUGUGGAUAAUAUGAGACGGAAAGCUAUUGAACAAAUGUCAAUUAUGCUGUAUCCAGUGGGUUAGUUCUCUUCUUCUAGUAGUAUUUAAUGCCUCCUUGCAGUGAAGUUUAUCAUCUCUGCAUGUGGACCAAAUAUCCUAGAACUUUUUAACUCAUCAAUUUUGUUUGAAUUAUUAUAGUGAAAUAUUCAGUGAUUUAGAAUAAGGAAGAAAUUUUAUUUUUUCUGAAGUUUGGAAUUGAGUGUUGAGAGAUGAUACAUGGAGAAAACAUCCUGGAUACUUUUUUGCAUUUGUUGUGGCAUGUGGUAAUUAUGGCGUCCUUCUGUACUUGGUGAAGAAUUGCAGGGCACAUUUCAUAUCAAUAAUUAGUAUUUAGAGAUAGCGAGUUAUUGUUUUAUUUUCUGUAUUCUCAGGAUAUGGGACUAUGUGCUGAAAUAUCCAGACUGGAACAUAACAUUUUCUCGGAAGCAACCACGUAUUUUUGAAAGAACCAAGGGUGGAGACUGGAAAAGGUGCUGAUUAUUGCCAGAGAAACUGUUUGUGCAAAAGCUCUAUGCCAUGGUUAUUUCAGGUGACAGAUUCCUGUCCAAGAAACAAAAUUCUUUGUCCGGAUGGAUCAAUUGACUAAUCUGGGUCAUCUUCUCUGUUUGCUGGUUAAGUAUUGCUCUCAAAUUGUGGUUACAUGUAAAUUGAUUAACAAUUAAUGACCUAUCUCUGGAGGCGUAAAAGGAACAAAAUUCGUGACUUCCUUCAUGUAGCCCCCUUGUAUCAUGUCAAGGAGUUCCUUAUGUUGGUUAACAUUUUAGCGGUAUGUGUCGUGCCAAGCUGUAUGUUGCAUUUCUUCAAGCGUGGUUGUUUUGUACAAGAACCCAAGACUCGGAGUUUCACCUCAUUAGUGAAUGUUUCUUGUGUAGUGACUGUGUAUAUACCAAGUUUCUUUCUUUAUAUGAAUGAGCGUGACAGAAUUGCAGCCUCAAAGCUUCAAGGAACUCAAACUAAAGGUCUGUUGCCACUGACCAACCCUUUACUGUGAAUGAGGGUUCUGUCAAUUUCAGUAAACCAUUUGGACCAGUCCGUCGUCAACCACGAUGAACGAAGAAGCUGUGCUAUGAAUACAGAUUGAUUAUUCUUCGCAAAAAAUAUAGAACGAAUUAUUCUUUUAUCUUUCACGAUAAAGUAUGUUUAUUUCUCAUUUGAAGGAGGAGUUUGAAUCUUUGAUCCAA